GAUCAUGGCUCAGAUUGAACGCUGGCGGCAGGCCUAACACAUGCAAGUCGAACGGUAACAGGAAGCAGCUUGCUGCUUUGCUGACGAGUGGCGGACGGGUGAGUAAUGUCUGGGAAACUGCCUGAUGGAGGGGGAUAACUACUGGAAACGGUAGCUAAUACCGCAUAACGUCGCAAGACCAAAGAGGGGGGACCUUCGGGCCUCUUGCCAUCGGAUGUGCCCAGAUGGGAUUAGCCAG
RNAcentral lists this ribosomal RNA (238 nucleotides) under uncultured bacterium. RNAcentral describes it as "partial 16S ribosomal RNA". It matches the Rfam family "Bacterial small subunit ribosomal RNA", at positions 15 to 248 of the family's 1533-position model. The record is from RNAcentral.